Molecule: long non-coding RNA, 300 nt
Organism: Mizuhopecten yessoensis (Yesso scallop)
Lineage: Eukaryota; Metazoa; Mollusca; Bivalvia; Pectinida; Pectinidae
Exons: 3
Source: RefSeq, a predicted model, not a curated record
UGCUCUUAUCUUUUUGUAGCUGAACAAACAUCUCACACAGAAUGAGAAGGAUCUCAACACAUACAAUGAGAUGCUCAAGUCUUUUGAUCCGAGGAUACAAGAGAUAGAGCGUCGUAUGUCGGAGCGGGGUGAAAAGUUGAAGAUUCUCAAGGAGAGAAUGGACAGGGUUGAAGACGAGGUGUUCAUGACGUUCUGUAUCCAGAUUGGUGUCGAGAACAUCAGGCAAUAUGAAGAACGAGAGCUUAGAGUACAACAGGACAGAGCAAAGAAGAGGCUUGAAUUCGAGAAUCAGAAAUUCAG